Molecule: ribosomal RNA, 1021 nt
Filed under: Flakea papillata
Lineage: Eukaryota; Fungi; Ascomycota; Eurotiomycetes; Verrucariales; Verrucariaceae
Description: eukaryotic LSU rRNA
Rfam family: Eukaryotic large subunit ribosomal RNA
Source: RNAcentral
CCGGGUCGACUUAUACCCGGGGUCAAUCGGCCCACCGGACCGAGAACGCGCUCCGGCUCGGAUGCUGGCAUAAUGGUGUAACGGCCCGUCUUGAAACACGGACCAAGGAGUCUAACAUCUAUGCGAGUGUUUGGGUGUUAAACCCCUACGCGUAAUGAAAGUGAAUGGAGGUAAGAACCCCGCCUAGGGGCGCAUUAUCGACCGAUCCUGAUGUCUUCGGAUGGAUUUGAGUAAGAGCAUAGCUGUUGGGACCCGAAAGAUGGUGAACUAUGCCUGAAUAGGGUGAAGCCAGAGGAAACUCUGGUGGAGGCUCGCAGCGGUUCUGACGUGCAAAUCGAUCGUCAAAUUUGGGCAUAGGGGCGAAAGACUAAUCGAACCGUCGAGGCGGAUUACCGGGCGGUUCUUAACAAGUCCUUUGGGGGCUACAUCGUCCCUCUGGCGGGGUCCAACACCCGCAGCAGCUCCGGCUGUCCACCAGACUAGGGAGACGAUGGUCAUCUCCACGGUCGAGAUGAUGAUGGUAUAGUCGGUUUGGUGGAGUCUCCGCCCAAAACAAACCGCUGGUAGCUGGUUCCUGUCGAAGUUUCCCUCAGGAUAGCAGUACGUAUUCAGUUUAUGAGGUAAAGCGAAUGAUUAGAGGCCUGGGGUUGAAGCGACCUUAACCUAUUCUCAAACUUUAAAUAUGUAAGAAGUCCUUGUUACUUGAUUGAACGUGGACACUUGAAUGCAUCGUUACUAGUGGGCCAUUUUUGGUAAGCAGAACUGGCGAUGCGGGAUGAACCGAACGUGAGGUUAAGGUGCCGGAAUGCACGCUCAUCAGACACCACAAAAGGUGUCAAUGCAUCCAGACAGCCGGACGGUGGCCAUGGAAGUCGGAAUCCGCUUAGGAGUGUGUAACAACUCACCGGCCGAAUGCAUUGGCCCUGAAAAUGGAUGGCGCUUAAGCGUGCUACCUAUACCUCGCCGUUGGGGUUGAAAUGAUGCCCCAACGAGUAGGCAGGCGUGGAGAUUGGUGACGAAG